Molecule: RNA transcript, 1301 nt
Organism: Populus euphratica (Euphrates poplar)
Lineage: Eukaryota; Viridiplantae; Streptophyta; Magnoliopsida; Malpighiales; Salicaceae
Exons: 4
Source: RefSeq, a predicted model, not a curated record
UUGCUUUUCUUUUAAUUUUCGGUCCGCGUAUUCUUAUUGUUAGAGAGAGAGAGAGAGAGAGAGAGAGUGCGUGUGUUAGGUGUAAGUUAGUCUGUUUUGCAGGUGAGGAGUGGUAGCGUCGUCGAUCGGUCAUUUCUUUUGGCCUCAGCUCUUCUUCUUCUUCUUCGAUCUCAACUGCUUGCUUCAGAUCAGAUCAGAACCCUUUCAAGCUGCCAAUGGAGGUUUUUGGUAAAUCCAUGAUGUCUGCUCCUGCCAAUGUUGUUUAUCUCUCCACUAUCCUUGGCCUUGAUGGCCCAAUUCCUGUCCACAAAUGUGACUGCAAGUGUCAGAAUGAACAUGUCCUUGCCAACAUGUACCGCUGCAGCCUCACUGGUCUCACUCACAUCUGUGACAAGAACUGUAACCAGAGAAUUUUGUAUGACAACCAUUCUUCCCUUUGCCGGGCUAGUCGCCAGAUUUUCCCCCUUUCCCCAGCUGAGAUGCAGGCUGUCAGAGGAGUUCGCAGGAAGCUCGAUGCUGAGAAUAGCAGUGCUCCCACUGAUAGCUGUUCUUUCAAGCGCAGGCGUGAUGCACAGUUUCAUCCUUCUCCUUUCGAGAGAUCUUUCUCUGCUGUCAGUCCAAUCUGCAGCCAAGUUGGAGAUGGCAUGGAUAUGAGCUAGAUAUAAUAUAUCGAAUUCUGUCAUUUCUUGCUAUGUUGAAUGAUGCUGUGUAGAACUGCUGAUGGAUUGAGAAGAUGCUGCACUUAUCUGCAGUUCACCCCUCCAUUGUUGAAGAAUUGAAAUUGAGAUACAUGAUCGUCUUAUAUUGACCACUGGUUUGUUUUUUAACAGAUCAGCGCCUCUGCUUUAUGAUACAGAUGGAACUUAAUUGGUAGGAUUAUCGGACUGUGAAUGCGGAGGCAAAAGGAAGUUUUAUAUUUUUGGUGAGCUUUGAAGCCUUGAAGAGCAGCUAGCUAGGUUGUAAGAAGCGCUGGCUUUAACCUCGUGAAUGCACCGAUGCCAAGCAAAGCGCUGGCUUCAGCAUCAGGAAUCAAGAUGAGAACAGUCUGCAGGUCCACAUGGGGCUACCCCUAUCAUGCUUACUUGUUAAUGGUGUUAGAGGGAGCUGAGCUUUUUGUAUCUGGGCUGGUCUGAAGCUCCUGAACAAGCACUUAGCGUCCCUUUCUGGUCUGAAACUACCCUGUUGUCGCCUCUUUUUUUUUCCCAAAUGGGGGGACGAGUCUUCAGAUUGUUGCAUUUUGCAUAAGCACACUUGUAUCCUCGAAUUCUGAUAAUGGCCAAGAAAGAAUGCUUUUCCUUGUU